Molecule: ribosomal RNA, 502 nt
Filed under: Phaeoclavulina grandis
Lineage: Eukaryota; Fungi; Basidiomycota; Agaricomycetes; Gomphales; Gomphaceae
Description: partial 12S small subunit ribosomal RNA
Rfam family: Bacterial small subunit ribosomal RNA
Source: RNAcentral
AAGAGUGAACUAGCUAACUGGAAUCACAGGUGUGUCAUCUGUGAUAACGUAAAGGAAAAUAAUGAUACGCCUUUACUAUUAGUGUUGUCCAAAUCUGGUGCCAGAAGACUCGGUAAUGCCAGAGACGCGAGCGUUAGUCAUCUUGAUCAGGCGUAAAGGGUUUGUAGGCGGCUUUAAAGAAAGUAAUUAAAGCUAGAAUCUGAUAGAGGUCACUUUAAGAGAAUACUUAGAGUAGGGUUGACAUCUUCACAUACUAAGUAGAAUCUAAUAGCGAAGGCUCUUUUCCAAAUAAAGAUUGACGCUGAGACACGAAGGGGAGGAAAGACAAUAGGAUUAGAUACCCUGGCAUCCCUCCCUGUCAACGAUGAAUGGUGGUUGUUAGUUUUAAGCUAGUGGCGAGGUUAACACGUUAACCAUUCCGCCUUGUGAGUACAAUUGCAAAAUUGAAAACAAAAAAAUUAGUCGGUUUCGGAGCAAACGAAGUGAAGCAUGUUAUUUAAUU